Ornithodoros turicata is the source of this 1087-nucleotide long non-coding RNA. RefSeq lists it as uncharacterized. NCBI's taxonomy places the organism in Eukaryota, Metazoa, Arthropoda, Arachnida, Ixodida, Argasidae. The record is from RefSeq and is a predicted model, not a curated record. The transcript is spliced from 2 exons.
UGUCAGCAUGUACGCAUCACUUUUACGUUGGACUGCCGCUGCAAAGAAGUCACGUGCCCAUCCCCAUUUUGUGUUUUUGUGCUGCUCACAUUCCAACUGGAACAUCACCCGGAAGACGGCGAUGACCAACCGAACUACAUCUAUUGAUCCACUGAUCCAUAGCCUAUUUCGUCUGGGUGUGUGCCACAUCAUGUAGAGGAGGAAGAAGAACAACAACAACCGAACUACCGCUCCAUCCAUUUUGUCACAACUGCCACCGCUGUCACAGAGUGCCCACGAACCAGCUCGAUAUCCGACCAUUCUUCCUCCUAAAGGUCUUCAAGAUCCUCCAGUCUAGAGUAGGAGAUCCACCAUAAGCAAUGCUGCCGAGACACAAAGUGCCGUCCAAGAAUGCGGCUCGCAGCGACAUGCGAGCACCGCCGCGUCGCACCGUUGACGGAGAGAACGCCCGUCCUGCGACGUCGACUUCAAGGGCGUCACGUGCCCUGGUAAGAAACAGCUCAACCCAAUCGGAGUCCAACACUGCCUUUCGCAAGGGCUGGCGGUCAACGGUGAUGGCCUGCGUGAUCUUACUAGGUCUCUUGAUGGUCAUGGCUUUCGGUGCAAUUACAGCCCUGUUGGUUCUCUUCGCUUUCAGGAGCCCAGAAUCACCAUUUGCGGGAGUCUUACGACGAAUGAAGGUCGGAACCCCAGUCAACGUCACCAAAGACCUGGUGGCUUCCAAUACCGCUUCAGAAGUCACCACGCGGAACACAACCCACUUUUUGGAGAGUACAGGGGCUGACGAACAGGCUGUUCCUCUAUAAUGUCAUCGACGAAUAAUUUUUUUUUCCCUUUCGGAAACCAGCUACUGCGUCCCGUAAUACUUCAUCAUUUUGAUAUCACAUUUAUAGGUUUGUCCCUCAACCGCGUAUAUGUUUGUGCGUGAACUAGUACAGUUGUAACGUACCGACAACGGUACCAAGGACAACGGAUUUACGUGCUCCUGAUAAAAUGUGCCUGUAUCUAAACGACAAGAAAAGUACUUAACGCGGGAGACGAGCUCAAAAUAACUUUCUCCUGUGCCCAAUAUACUGUCAGUGAUGGA